GGGCCGAAUAUCCAAGGUUUCCAGAGUAAAGCUGAUCUGCUCUGGGUAAGUCGGGGCCUAAGGCGAGGACGAGAGUCGUAGCCGAUGGACAACAGGUGGAGAUUCCUGUACUGCGGUAUGACAGAACUGUGGGGACACGUAAGGAAAGCGGAAGCCGGGAAUGGAAAGCCCGGUGCAAGCGGGGUACCAGUCACUUUGGCAAAUCCGGGUGGCAAUGGGAAGCCGUGAUGCGGAGCGAAAUAAAGUAGCGAAGUCCGUGAGCCAUGCGUCAAGAAAAGCCGCUAUCGUUUAUACCGUACCCGUACCGUAAACCGACACAGGUGGAUGAGGAGAGAAUCCUAAGGCCGGCGGAAGAAGCAUUGUCAAGGAACUCGGCAAAAUGGCCCCGUAACUUAGGGAUAAGGGGUGCCUGGGAAACCAGGCCGCAGAGAAUAGGCUCAAGCAACUGUUUAGCAAAAACACAGGUCUAUGCGAAACCGAAAGGUGAGGUAUAUGGGCUGACGCCUGCCCGGUGCUGGAAGGUUAAGAGGAGAGGUUAGCGGUAACGCGAAGCUUUGAAUUUAAGCCCCAGUAAACGGCGGCCGUAACAAUAACGGUCCUAAGGUAGCGAAAUUCCUUGUCGGGUAAGUUCCGACCCGCACGAAAGGCGUAAUGAUUUGAGCGCUGUCUCGACAAUGCAUCCGGUGAAAUUGAAGUACCAGUGAAGAUGCUGGUUACCUGCGCCAGGACGGAAAGACCCCAUGGAGCUUUACUCCAGUCUGGUACUGGGACUCGGUAUUGCAUGUACAGGAUAGGUGGGAGGCUAGGAGAUGGUAACGCCAGUUGCCAUGGAGCCGCUGUUGGGAUACCACCCUUGCAGUAUUGGGUUUCUAACCAGCCGCCGUGACCCGGCGGUGGGACAAUGCCAGACGGGGAGUUUGACUGGGGCGGUCGCCUCCGAAAGGGUAUCGGAGGCGCCCAAAGGUUCCCUCAGAAUGGACGGAAACCAUUCGAAGAGUGCAAAGGCAGAAGGGAGCUUGACUGCGACACCGACGGGUGGAGCAGGUACGAAAGUAGGGCUUAGUGAUCCGGUGGUAUUAAGUGGGAAUGCCAUCGCUCAACGGAUAAAAGCUACCCUGGGAUAACAGGCUUAUCACUCCCAAGAGUUCACAUCGACGGAGUGGUUUGGCACCUCGAUGUCGGCUCAUCGCAUCCUGGGGCUGUAGUAGGUCCCAAGGGUUGGGCUGUUCGCCCAUUAAAGCGGUACGCGAGCUGGGUUCAGAACGUCGUGAGACAGUUCGGUCCCUAUCCGGCGUGGGCGUAGGAUAUCUGAGAGGAGCUGUCCUUAGUACGAGAGGACCGGGAUGGACGGGCCGCUGGUGCAUCGGUUAGACUGCCAAGUCUACGGCCGAGUAGCCAAGCCCGGAAGGGAUAAACGCUGAAGGCAUCUAAGCGUGAAGCCCCCCUUAAGAUGAGAUAUCCCAUUCGAAAGAAGUAAACCCCCUUGAAGACGACGAGGUAGAUAGGGCAGAGGUGGAAGUGCAGUAAUGCAUGGAGCUGACUGUUACUAAUCGGGUGAGGGCUUGAUC
This 1568-nucleotide ribosomal RNA is filed under the name metagenome. RNAcentral describes it as "bacterial LSU rRNA". It matches the Rfam family "Bacterial large subunit ribosomal RNA", at positions 1334 to 2925 of the family's 2925-position model. The record is from RNAcentral.